RNAcentral lists this ribosomal RNA (230 nucleotides) under uncultured Acanthamoeba. RNAcentral describes it as "partial 18S ribosomal RNA". It matches the Rfam family "Eukaryotic small subunit ribosomal RNA", at positions 97 to 279 of the family's 1831-position model. The record is from RNAcentral. Lineage: Eukaryota; Discosea; Longamoebia; Acanthamoebidae.
CUCAUUAAAUCAGUUAUAGUUUAUUUGAUGGUCUCUUUGUUCUUCUUUUUACCUACUUGGAUAACCGUGGUAAUUCUAGAGCUAAUACAUGCGCAAGGUCCCGAGCGCGGAGAGUGGGGCUUCACGGCUCUACUCUUGCAUGCGCAGAGGGAUGUAUUUAUUAGGUUAAACAACCAGCAUUUUUUCAUAUAUCUGGUGAUUCAUAGUAACUCUUUCGGAUCGCAUUCAUG